Molecule: ribosomal RNA, 862 nt
Filed under: uncultured bacterium
Lineage: Bacteria
Description: bacterial SSU rRNA
Rfam family: Bacterial small subunit ribosomal RNA
Source: RNAcentral
ACACAUGCAAGUCGAGGGGCAGCAUAAUGGAUAGCAAUAUCUAUGGUGGCGACCGGCGCACGGGUGCGUAACGCGUAUGCAACCUACCUUUAACAGGGGGAUAACACUGAGAAAUUGGUACUAAUACCCCAUAAUAUCAUAGAAGGCAUCUUUUAUGGUUGAAAAUUCCGAUGGUUAGAGAUGGGCAUGCGUUGUAUUAGCUAGUUGGUGGGGUAACGGCUCACCAAGGCGACGAUACAUAGGGGGACUGAGAGGUUAACCCCCCACACUGGUACUGAGACACGGACCAGACUCCUACGGGAGGCAGCAGUGAGGAAUAUUGGUCAAUGGACGCAAGUCUGAACCAGCCAUGCCGCGUGCAGGAUGACGGCUCUAUGAGUUGUAAACUGCUUUUGUACGAGGGUAAACGCAGAUACGUGUAUCUGUCUGAAAGUAUCGUACGAAUAAGGAUCGGCUAACUCCGUGCCAGCAGCCGCGGUAAUACGGAGGAUUCAAGCGUUAUCCGGAUUUAUUGGGUUUAAAGGGUGCGUAGGCGGUUUGAUAAGUUAGAGGUGAAAUUUCGGGGCUCAACCCUGAACGUGCCUCUAAUACUGUUGAGCUAGAGAGUAGUUGCGGUAGGCAGAAUGUAUGGUGUAGCGGUGAAAUGCUUAGAGAUCAUACAGAACACCGAUUGCGAAGGCAGCUUACCAAACUAUAUCUGACGUUGAGGCACGAAAGCGUGGGGAGCAAACAGGAUUAGAUACCCUGGUAGUCCACGCAGUAAACGAUGAUAACUCGUUGUCGGCGAUACACAGUCGGUGACUAAGCGAAAGCGAUAAGUUAUCCACCUGGGGAGUACGUUCGCAAGAAUGAAACUCAAAGG